AACGAACGCUGGCGGCAGGCCUAACACAUGCAAGUCGAACGAGAACGGAUUAUAGCUUGCUAUAAUUGUCAGCUAAGUGGCGCACGGGUGAGUAAUGUAUAGGUAAUAUGCCUCUUACUAAGGGAUAACAAAUGGAAACGUUUGCUAAUACCUUAUACUCCUUAUUAACAGAAGUUAAUAAGGGAAAGAUUUAUUGGUAAGAGAUUAGCCUGUAUUGUAUCAGUUAGUUGGUGGGGUAAUGGCUUACCAAGACUAUGACACAUAACUGGUUUGAGAGGAUGAUCAGUCACACUGGAACUGAGACACGGUCCAGACUCCUACGGGAGGCAGCAGUGGGGAAUAUUGCACAAUGGACGAAAGUCUGAUGCAGCAACGCCGCGUGGAGGAUGACACAUUUCGGUGCGUAAACUCCUUUUAUAUGAGAAGAUAAUGACGGUAUUAUAUGAAUAAGCACCGGCUAACUCCGUGCCAGCCGCCGCGGUAA
This 484-nucleotide ribosomal RNA is filed under the name uncultured bacterium. RNAcentral's name for it is "partial 16S ribosomal RNA". It matches the Rfam family "Bacterial small subunit ribosomal RNA", at positions 29 to 523 of the family's 1533-position model. The record is from RNAcentral.